AUGAUACUCCCUCCAUCUAACAAAGGAUGUCUCAAUUUUGACCAAAUUUGAAUGCAUCUAUAUACUAAGUCAUGUUUAGAUACAUCUAAAUUUUAACAAACUUGAAACAUCUUUUGUUGUACGAAGGGAGUAGUUU
Brachypodium distachyon (stiff brome) is the source of this 136-nucleotide non-coding RNA. The record is from Rfam. Lineage: Eukaryota; Viridiplantae; Streptophyta; Magnoliopsida; Poales; Poaceae.